AUUGAGACUUCGGUGGAUCUGAUCUAUUUCUAGUGGCGGACGGGUGAGUAACGCGUGGGUAACCUGCCUUAUACAGGGGGAUAACAGUCAGAAAUGGCUGCUAAUACCGCAUAAGCGCACAGAGCUGCAUGGCUCAGUGUGAAAAACUCCGGUGGUAUAAGACGGACCCGCGUUGGAUUAGCUUGUUGGCGGGGUAACGGCCCACCAAGGCGACGAUCCAUAGCCGGCCUGAGAGGGUGAACGGCCACAUUGGGACUGAGACACGGCCCAGACUCCUACGGGAGGCAGCAGUGGGGAAUAUUGCACAAUGGGGGAAACCCUGAUGCAGCGACGCCGCGUGAAGGAAGAAGUAUCUCGGUAUGUAAACUUCUAUCAGCAGGGAAGAUAGUGACGGUACCUGACUAAGAAGCCCCGGCUAACUACGUGCCAGCAGCCGCGGUAAUACGUAGGGGGCAAGCGUUAUCCGGAUUUACUGGGUGUAAAGGGAGCGUAGACGGUGUGGCAAGUCUGAUGUGAAAGGCAUGGGCUCAACCUGUGGACUGCAUUGGAAACUGUCAUACUUGAGUGCCGGAGGGGUAAGCGGAAUUCCUAGUGUAGCGGUGAAAUGCGUAGAUAUUAGGAGGAACACCAGUGGCGAAGG
RNAcentral lists this ribosomal RNA (640 nucleotides) under uncultured Lachnospiraceae bacterium. RNAcentral's name for it is "bacterial SSU rRNA". It matches the Rfam family "Bacterial small subunit ribosomal RNA", at positions 66 to 721 of the family's 1533-position model. Lineage: Bacteria; Bacillati; Bacillota; Clostridia; Lachnospirales; Lachnospiraceae. The record is from RNAcentral.